GCAAGAGUAGCUUAAUGGUAAAGCGCAAUUUUGCCAAAAUUGAUUAUGCGAGUUCAAGUCUCGUCUCUUGCU
RNAcentral lists this transfer RNA (72 nucleotides) under Candidatus Nasuia deltocephalincola. RNAcentral describes it as "Candidatus Nasuia deltocephalinicola tRNA-Gly". It matches the Rfam family "tRNA". Rfam says of the family: Transfer RNA (tRNA) molecules are approximately 80 nucleotides in length. Their secondary structure includes four short double-helical elements and three loops (D, anti-codon, and T loops). Further hydrogen bonds mediate the characteristic L-shaped molecular structure. tRNAs have two regions of fundamental functional importance: the anti-codon, which is responsible for specific mRNA codon recognition, and the 3' end, to which the tRNAs corresponding amino acid is attached (by aminoacyl-tRNA synthetases). tRNAs cope with the degeneracy of the genetic code in two manners: having more than one tRNA (with a specific anti-codon) for a particular amino acid; and 'wobble' base-pairing, i.e. permitting non-standard base-pairing at the 3rd anti-codon position. The record is from RNAcentral. Lineage: Bacteria; Pseudomonadati; Pseudomonadota; Betaproteobacteria.